CCUACGGGGGGCAGCAGUGGGGAAUAUUGGACAAUGGGCGAAAGCCUGAUCCAGCCAUGCCGCGUGUGUGAAGAAGGCCUUCGGGUUGUAAAGCACUUUCAGUGGGGAAGAAAGCCUUGGGGCUAAUACCCUCGAGGAAGGACAUCACCCACAGAAGAAGCACCGGCUAACUCCGUGCCAGCAGCCGCGGUAAUACGGAGGGUGCGAGCGUUAAUCGGAAUUACUGGGCGUAAAGCGCGCGUAGGCGGUCUGAUAAGCCGGUUGUGAAAGCCCCGGGCUCAACCUGGGAACGGCAUCCGGAACUGUCAGGCUAGAGUGCAGGAGAGGAAGGUAGAAUUCCCGGUGUAGCGGUGAAAUGCGUAGAGAUCGGGAGGAAUACCAGUGGCGAAGGCGGCCUUCUGGACUGACACUGACGCUGAGGUGCGAAAGCGUGGGUAGCAAACAGGAUUAGAUACCCCGGGUAGUC
RNAcentral lists this ribosomal RNA (466 nucleotides) under Vreelandella stevensii. RNAcentral describes it as "partial 16S ribosomal RNA". It matches the Rfam family "Bacterial small subunit ribosomal RNA", at positions 338 to 795 of the family's 1533-position model. Lineage: Bacteria; Pseudomonadati; Pseudomonadota; Gammaproteobacteria; Oceanospirillales; Halomonadaceae. The record is from RNAcentral.